Molecule: long non-coding RNA, 1393 nt
Filed under: Pan troglodytes (chimpanzee)
Lineage: Eukaryota; Metazoa; Chordata; Mammalia; Primates; Hominidae
Description: lncRNA (ENSPTRG00000053630.1)
Source: RNAcentral
CUCAUGCCAUCCUCUUUCCCCUACCCCUCCUAGGCCACCACAGCCCCAUCAUACUCCUUGGCAGCCACCCAAAACCCUGCCUGGAGGCUUCUUGCAGGAGAGAGCCUGGGCUCAGAUUUUGUUAUAUUUUGUGUACGUUGUCUCCUAAUCCUCCCAGCAAACCUGGAGGAUGGGCAUAAGCCAUGAUUACAGACUGGACAGUGGGAUCCUAGACUCUAGUCACUCCCUUGGGGUCUGGCAGCUCCCACACACGGGGCAGGGCUCCAGCCUGACAGCAGAGGCUGUGCCGUGGGAUGACCUGGCAGUGGCCAUAUAUGGAAGGUGCUUGUGUGUGACUUUGAGGCCAGGUGCUCCCCUGGAAGGGCUGACACUGAAUUUGCAUCCUGCCGGCUUGUGUGGGGUGCAGCACUGAGAUUUGUCCCCUGGGGCUUGGGUUUGACUUCGCUCUGCAUGGCCUCCAAGGCCGAUUCCCUAAGUGUCUGAUGGGUGGAACUCCAGGCAGAUUUACUCAUGAGCAGCGCGAGGGCAACUCCAUGCAGAGUAACCCACAUUCUGAUUCAGGGUUUAAGAAAUUUAGAGGGUCACAUGUCACUCAGCAUAGCCUGUCUGAUAACAAGAGGUUGUGUAAUUAUGUUUAGAUUUCUAGGUUGGAAGAAUCCCUUAGGAAGUCAGUGCUGCAGAUAGAACAACUACAAAGUAUGAGAUCAUCACAACAAACAGCUUUCAGCACAAUAAAAAGUUCAGUUUCAAGUAAGUAAAAUCAUGCCAGAAAGAGAACAAAAUAGAGAUGUAUGUUGCUGAAUCACGCUGUAUGCACUGACGCUGGCAUUUUCGUCAUCACUCUUCCAGCAAAACCACACGGAUGCCUGCUGCCACCUCACUCAUCAGCCCCCGACAGACUGGAGUCGAUGGAAGUUGAUCUCUCUCCUUCUCCGAUUAGAAAAUCCGAGAUAGCAGCCGGCCCUGCGAGAAUCUCCGUGAUUAGUCCACCUCAAGAUGGACGAAUGGGCAGCGUCUCCUCCCGGGGCCCCGAGCAUCCCGGCCUGACGCCGAGUCAGAGGAGCAUGGGAAAGCCUCUCAGGAUUCCACCUCUGCAAAUUCCCUACAAGGGACCCCCACUAACGCCAACACCACAGUUACCAGGGAGAGCAGGAAGAGGGGACUCUCCAAGCUUCGGGGGCUCCCAGGCCAGGCUGCCCCCCCGGCCGCCCAUCAGCAUCUCCAGCCUGCUGCAGAGGCAGUGUUUAGGCAAGUGCUCAGCCAGCCUCAGGAAGAAAAUGCUUUUGGGAAACUGCGUGUGUAAAGAAGCUCUUUAACUGAGUGUGUGCCAAGGGCAGACAUGGAGCUCUAAACCUUCUCAAGAGUUGUGUUUCUGAGUUUUGCCUUAGUUGUU